Molecule: ribosomal RNA, 620 nt
Filed under: uncultured fungus
Lineage: Eukaryota; Fungi
Description: eukaryotic LSU rRNA
Rfam family: Eukaryotic large subunit ribosomal RNA
Source: RNAcentral
CCCGCUGAACUUAAGCAUAUCAAUAAGCGGAGGAAAAGAAACCAACAGGGAUUACCUCAGUAACGGCGAGUGAAGCGGUAACAGCUCAAAUUUGAAAGCUGCCAACAGGCCGCGUUGUAAUUUGUAGAAGCUGCUUUGGGUGUCGGCCCGGUCUAAGUUCCUUGGAACAGGACGUCAUAGAGGGUGAGAAUCCCGUAUGUGAUCGGUGCCGUUGCCCGUGUAAAGCGCUUUCGACGAGUCGAGUUGUUUGGGAAUGCAGCUCAAAAUGGGUGGUAAAUUUCAUCUAAAGCUAAAUAUUGGCCAGAGACCGAUAGCGCACAAGUAGAGUGAUCGAAAGAUGAAAAGCACUUUGGAAAGAGAGUUAAACAGUACGUGAAAUUGUUGAAAGGGAAGCGCAGGCAACCAGACUCGAGCGCAGAGUUCCCCCCGUUCUGCGGGGCUACUUCUCUGUGACCGGGCCAUCAUCAGGUUUGGGGACCACUUAAAGGCCCCGGGAAUGUACCUACUCCUCCGGGGGUAGACUUAUAGCCCGGGGCGUCAUGCGGCCUCCCGAGCCUGAGGAACGCGCUUCGGCGAGGAUGAUGGCGUAAUGGUUGUCUGCGACCCGUCUUGAAACACGG